UCCCAAAAAAGUAACUGACAAUAUGAACGCAUCUGUGUUUGCAAGUGAUCCUUCAAAACUCUUAAUACUAAACGUAUAAAGAGCAUCAUCGCGUUUUGACUGUCGAAUGUAACUAAUUCUAUAUAUUAAUAACGUUACCGUUAAGAUACUGGUCGUCACUAAGGAAAAGGAAUCACUAGAAAUAAACCCAAUCACUUAUUCUCUGCGACAGUCAACCAGAAUCAUUGCUGUGAGAAGCCCAUGACAAUGAAGUCAAAGUAAAACCGCAGUACAUCAAAAUACAAUCGAAUACGCUCAAAUGAAGAAAGCCAGAUGACGGCAAAUACCAGUUUAAUAGGUGGUUCAUAUUAAAGUAGCACAUUUGUCUCGAGGACAAGCAGCAGCCAUCUAAUAUACCAGGAUUUUAAUUGGUAUAUUAGGGA
RNAcentral lists this long non-coding RNA (422 nucleotides) under Polistes fuscatus (common paper wasp). Its description in RNAcentral is "uncharacterized LOC122514075". Lineage: Eukaryota; Metazoa; Arthropoda; Insecta; Hymenoptera; Vespidae. The record is from RNAcentral.